This 481-nucleotide ribosomal RNA is filed under the name Pseudoalteromonas aurantia. RNAcentral describes it as "bacterial SSU rRNA". It matches the Rfam family "Bacterial small subunit ribosomal RNA", at positions 37 to 509 of the family's 1533-position model. Lineage: Bacteria; Pseudomonadati; Pseudomonadota; Gammaproteobacteria; Alteromonadales; Pseudoalteromonadaceae. The record is from RNAcentral.
UGGCGGCAGGCCUAACACAUGCAAGUCGAGCGGUAACAGAGAUAGCUUGCUAUCUGCUGACGAGCGGCGGACGGGUGAGUAAUGCUUGGGAAUAUGCCUUUUGGUGGGGGACAACAGUUGGAAACGACUGCUAAUACCGCAUAACGUCUACGGACCAAAGUGGGGGACCUUCGGGCCUCACGCCAAGAGAUUAGCCCAAGUGGGAUUAGCUAGUUGGUGAGGUAAUGGCUCACCAAGGCAACGAUCCCUAGCUGGUUUGAGAGGAUGAUCAGCCACACUGGAACUGAGACACGGUCCAGACUCCUACGGGAGGCAGCAGUGGGGAAUAUUGCACAAUGGGCGCAAGCCUGAUGCAGCCAUGCCGCGUGUGUGAAGAAGGCCUUCGGGUUGUAAAGCACUUUCAGUCAGGAGGAAAGGUUAGUAGUUAAUAGCUACUAGCUGUGACGUUACUGACAGAAGAAGCACCGGCUAACUCCGUGCC